Molecule: ribosomal RNA, 305 nt
Filed under: uncultured bacterium
Lineage: Bacteria
Description: bacterial SSU rRNA
Rfam family: Bacterial small subunit ribosomal RNA
Source: RNAcentral
UCCUACGGGGGGCAGCAGUGAGGGAUAUUGGUCAAUGGUCGGGAGACUGAACCAGCCAAGCCGCGUGAGGGAGGAAGGUACAGAGUAUCGUAAACCUCUUUUGUCAGGGAACAAAGGCGGGGACGUGUCCCCGGAUGAGUGUAUCUGAAGAAAAAGCAUCGGCUAACUCCGUGCCAGCAGCCGCGGUAAUACGGAGGAUGCGAGCGUUAUCCGGAUUUAUUGGGUUUAAAGGGUGCGCAGGCGGUCUGUUAAGUCAGCGGUCAAAGCCCGGGGCUCAACCCCGGCCCGCCGUUGAAACUGGCAGG